GGUGAACGACGUUACUACGCAAUCUACCGGAUGCUCGACCUUUGGAGACUUACUCGCCAGUAGUAGAAGGAGAUAACGUGUUCUUAGGAGAAGAAAAAUCAAUGAGUUUGGGGUGUUUAGGGAUGCUCAUGCAAAAAGGCAGUCCUAUAUGAAGGAACUGUGCUACCUUAGAUGACAUGCCACGAGAGGCUAUACGAAACCUAAGAAAUCGGUAACAUGCGGGAAAAGUAAAGGGAUCGAGAGAUCUA
Molecule: long non-coding RNA, 248 nt
Filed under: Lathyrus oleraceus (garden pea)
Lineage: Eukaryota; Viridiplantae; Streptophyta; Magnoliopsida; Fabales; Fabaceae
Description: Pisum sativum (pea) long non-coding RNA (PSAT_LNC022229)
Source: RNAcentral